AAGUCGUAACAAGGUUUCCGUAGGUGAACCUGCGGAAGGAUCAUUACCGAGAUUUUUUCCUGCUUGCAGGAAAUCUCCCACCCUUAUGUGUAACGAAAUUUUGAUAUACUUUGGUAAAGCGCUUGUUGAGCAUACGUGCUAAGCAACCAGUGACUGACUUUUUUUUAUGUUAGUGGCUGUGUCUUUGCCAAAGGACCCCAAAUAUAACUCUAUUUUAUAUAAUUAUUUUGUCUGAGUUUAUAAUUUUUAAAAUAAACAAAACUUUCAACAACGGAUCUCUUGGUUCUG
RNAcentral lists this unclassified non-coding RNA (288 nucleotides) under fungal sp. RNAcentral's name for it is "partial internal transcribed spacer region". The stretch from base 1 to 46 matches the Rfam family "Eukaryotic small subunit ribosomal RNA", at positions 1786 to 1831 of the family's 1831-position model. Lineage: Eukaryota; Fungi. The record is from RNAcentral.